RNAcentral lists this long non-coding RNA (1137 nucleotides) under Vigna radiata. RNAcentral describes it as "long non-coding RNA (VRAD_LNC011819)". Lineage: Eukaryota; Viridiplantae; Streptophyta; Magnoliopsida; Fabales; Fabaceae. The record is from RNAcentral.
UGCUCUUUCCUUUUACACACAACCAGAUUUCUCAACUGAUUUUCCUUUUCUUUUUUUUUUCUUCUGGCCUUCUUUUAUAUUGCACUCACCAAGUUCCAAGAUCCUCCAUCCCUUUCACAUGUCUCUACAGGUUAGGUAUUUGGUAGGAAAAAUGGCUUGUACUGAAUGGAAACAAAGAAAAUGGCCAAGGCUCAAAGUUAGGGUACAAUGGUCAGAAAUGAAAUGGUAAAACUAAACGGUUAUGGAUGGUAAGAAAGAAUGCCUAAAUCAUGUCUAAAGUCCACCAAGAGCAAGCUUUUNACAAAGAAUCAAUGCAAAAUCAGAAUGAAAAUCAAACAUGCAUGAAAUCACACUAGAAAGAAAAAAAUUGGCCCAAAAUCUCUCCGGGUUAAUAAAUUUCCAAAACUGACUUGUUACCUUCUUUUAUGGCAAAAUGCUUAAUUGAACUGAACUAAGAUGCAAAAAGCAAAGCUAGGACUACUUCUACUUAAAUCUAAAGCAAAGAAUUACAUCAAUAGUUCUAAUUAAGAGAAAUAAAACUGUGAAAUGAAGUAAAUCAGCAAAGAAUUGAGCAAGGAAUGAAAUAGAACUCAAAAAGAACCUAGAAUUACCCAACAGUACGACUUAAAACUAUUUACAACCUACAAAAGCUAAAACUGGACAGUAUGUAACUAAGAAAACCUAACUAAACUCAAUUAGCUAAAACAGUUCCUAAACCAAAGUUGUACUAGGAAAAGAAGAAAAUCAAAGAAAUAAUUAUGAACCUAGCUAGACUAAAACAAAUUUAUGUUCAAAAGAAAGAAAGCCUAAGAUAAUCCUAAACCGUAACAAUGAAUGGAAAAGAACCUAGGAGGCUAUUUCUAAAAAUCAAAACACAAUGUUCAGAACAAAAUUUAUUAUGAAAACUAAAUCAAGAAAAUGAAAUCAGAGAAGUAAACAAAUCCUAUAAAAGAAAAAAUUCUAAAGUAAAUGCAAAUGUACAAAGGCUAAAACAUAAUGUCAAAACUAAGACAAUUACUAAUAUUUAAAACAAGAAAUAAGAAAGCUAAAAUAAGACUACUGAUCCGUGAAACAGAACUCAAAGAAGCUAAAAUAGGAUCAGGGAUAAAAGAAAAUUUUUUACAAACAACUAGGAUU